AACAGAGGAGAAAUGGAAGAAGAGAAUAUGUCUGUCACUUUUGACUUGUUAACAUCUUGGUUUCUUGACUGGUUGUUGACAUAACGUACGCCACAUUUUA
This is a long non-coding RNA of Sander lucioperca (pikeperch), 100 nucleotides long. RefSeq lists it as uncharacterized. The transcript has 3 exons. NCBI's taxonomy places the organism in Eukaryota, Metazoa, Chordata, Actinopteri, Perciformes, Percidae. The record is from RefSeq and is a predicted model, not a curated record.